AUUGAACGCUGGCGGCAUGCUUUACACAUGCAAGUCGAACGGCAGCGCGGGGCAACCUGGCGGCGAGUGGCGAACGGGUGAGUAAUAUAUCGGAACGUACCCAAGAGUGGGGAGUAACGUAGCGAAGUUAACGUCUAAUACCGCCAUACGAUCUAAGGAAGUGAAGUAGGGGAGUCGCAAGACCUCAUGCUCCUCGGAGCGGCCGAUAUCUGAUUAG
Molecule: ribosomal RNA, 217 nt
Filed under: uncultured bacterium
Lineage: Bacteria
Description: partial 16S ribosomal RNA
Rfam family: Bacterial small subunit ribosomal RNA
Source: RNAcentral